AGAGCAACAGAAUACUGUGCUGAGGCCCCAAAACAGAAAGGAAAGCUCACCACCAGAAUGUGCCUUUUCCUUAUCAAAAAGAAUUGCUGCCCCUUACAGGACAGGAGGACUCCAAUUGUGACCAAGUUGGAGCAGCCUUGAGCCACAACUCAGACUUAUUUUCAUUCUCUGCUCAUUGGCCAUUAGGAACCCGAUCCUUAUGGUAUGUUCACACUGUCUCCAGGCUGGGCACAGUGGCUCACACUUGUAAUCCCAGCACUCUGGAGGCCAAGGUGGGUGGACGGCUUGAACUCAGAGUUUGAGACCACCGUGAGCAACAUGACAAAACGCUAUCUCUACAAACAAUAUAAAAAUUAGCCUGGUGUGGUGGUGCACGCCUGUGGUCCCAGCUACUAGGGGCUGAUGUGGGAGGAUUGCUUGAGCCUGGAAAGUGGAGGUUGCAGUGAGCUGAGAUUGCACCACUGCACUCCAGCCUGGGUGACACAAGGAGACGCUGUCUCAACCUGCAGUGACCUGCUGCUACCAGAACUGACUCGCUUCAAAGUGACGGAUGAAACCCAUAUGGAGAUAUUCCUGGGGUGGGUAGGCCAGUUGGAAGACAGAGUGUUUACACCUGAGAGAGGACUUGAGGAAAAGCAGUUGAAAUACCAUUAGUUAACAGAUUGCCCAAUGAAGUCGAUGACAACUGUGAUAACAAGUUACUCACUAUCACAGCGUCUCCAAGAGAUGAACAGUGGAUGAUGCUUCCAAAGCACAGAUGUCCCUCUCCUCCUCAACCUUCUCUCCCCAGAAAGAUGUCAACACUGUGGAGAUUGUGCUAUGAAGAUACCUGGUGUGGCAUUGCAAUAGAUGAAAUAUUAAGGGCAAUUCAACAAUUUUCUGAACAAAUACAUGGAUUUAACUUGAAGUUGAAUUUAAUUUGACUUCAAGAAAAAUUAUAUUUCUGGUCCUCCUAUGAUCAUGCACUAAGAAUUAUUUAACUGCAGAUACAAUUGUUACCUUUAGAGCUAGAAGGCCUCAUUUUAGAAUUAAAAUGAAUGGCAACCCAGACAGAUAAA
Homo sapiens (human) is the source of this 1058-nucleotide long non-coding RNA. Ensembl annotates it as long intergenic non-protein coding RNA 1020. Lineage: Eukaryota; Metazoa; Chordata; Mammalia; Primates; Hominidae. The record is from Ensembl.